This 148-nucleotide non-coding RNA is filed under the name Pan paniscus (pygmy chimpanzee). Lineage: Eukaryota; Metazoa; Chordata; Mammalia; Primates; Hominidae. RNAcentral also lists the same sequence under 1 other name. The record is from Rfam by way of RNAcentral.
GCCGGGCGUGGUGGCGCACACCUGUAAUCCCAGCUACUCAGGAGGCUGAGGCAGGAGAAUCGCUUGAACCCAGGAGGCGGAGGUUGCAGUCAGCAGAGAUCGCGCCACUACACUCUAGCCUGGGUGACAGAGUGAGACUCUGUCUCAA